UAGACGUGCUUCAUCGACUUCUUGCCGAUCGCGAAGACGUUGAACCCGAGGGCGAACAGCUCGGCGUGAUUGAGGAUAUUGCGCCCAUCGAAAAUGAAGGCCGGCUGGACCAUCCCCUCGAAGAUUCGACGGUAAUCGAGCGUGCGAUAGAGGUCCCACCCCGUCAGAACCGCGAUCGCGUGGGCGCCGGCCGCCGCGCGGUAAGGAUCUUCUUCGAAUUCGACGGCGUGGCCUGUUCCGCUCAGGUCCGCUCUCGCAUUGUCCAGCGCCUUUGGAUCGGUGACGACGACGUGUGCGCGUUCGGCGAGCAAGUCACGUGUCACCGCCAGAGCCGGAGACUC
RNAcentral lists this unclassified non-coding RNA (341 nucleotides) under uncultured bacterium. Its description in RNAcentral is "contains 16S-23S intergenic spacer region". The record is from RNAcentral.